Molecule: small RNA, 123 nt
Filed under: Saimiri boliviensis boliviensis (Bolivian squirrel monkey)
Lineage: Eukaryota; Metazoa; Chordata; Mammalia; Primates; Cebidae
Description: Y RNA (ENSSBOG00000011482.1)
Source: RNAcentral
GACCAGCCUGGCCGACAUGGUGAAACUACAUCUCUACUAAAAAUACAAAAAUUAUUGAUCACAACCAGUUACAGAUUUCUUUCUUCCUUCUCUACUCCCACUGCUUCAGUUGACUAGCCUUAA